CUGUCUAUUAAUAAUAUAUUUAACUUACUAAAGAGGUGUAAAUACCUCUAUGAUAAUAGAAGACGAGACGACCCUAGAAAUUUUAUAUAAAGUGUAUUAUAUAUUUAUACUAUCAUUUUGUUGGGGCGACAGAAUAGCAAAUAACCUAUUUUAAGUAAUACAUGAAGUUUUUAUAAAGACAGUAAAAAUUGCUCGAGUGAUAACCCCCUCCUUAUUUUAUUUAUUUGGACCCACAAAAUGGAGUGCGGGCGGUGCUUGUCUCAGGAUGAACACCUCACCCACAGUUCAAAAAAAAUAGUACGGCAUACCGCUGGAG
This 316-nucleotide ribosomal RNA is filed under the name Humboldtiana durangoensis. RNAcentral describes it as "partial 16S ribosomal RNA". The record is from RNAcentral. Lineage: Eukaryota; Metazoa; Mollusca; Gastropoda; Stylommatophora; Humboldtianidae.